AAGUGGCUAAAAUGAAUGCCAGCAGCCGCGGUUAGAUUCACGCUUUGUUAAAUCUUGACGGUUUUAUUAGACGCAUGAAGUAGAAUAGCUUUAGUCGGCAUGGAGUAGGGGUGUAAUCUUAUUUCUAACAGCUUGGAUCAGAUGAAGUUAUGAUGUUUCUUAUGAAAGUGUGGGUAAAAACCGGGAUUUGAUACCCCGUUAUUCAUGAGGUAAAAUAAGAUUACCGGAUGACUAAAAGUUGGUUCUUCAAAGUUAAAUGAAUAGGCGGCCUCCAACAAACAUACAGGGGAAUCUGGGAGUUAAAAGAUGGUCCGCUUACAUUUGUUCUUUAUCUUAUUUUGCAUAUGUAUGGUUGUUUACGAAUCAAUACGCGUAAGAUAUUGGUGAAGUUUUUACUACCCUUUGGGCAGUAAGAAGUAAUUCAGAUUAACAUGUAGCUAUGAUAGAGCCAUUCUGGAUGACAAUUGGGAAAUCACUUACACACCUAACAGUGGAUGUGUAGCGUCGGCCAAGAGGUUUGAAAAUUCU
This 528-nucleotide ribosomal RNA is filed under the name Bathymodiolus aduloides. RNAcentral's name for it is "partial large subunit ribosomal RNA". Lineage: Eukaryota; Metazoa; Mollusca; Bivalvia; Mytilida; Modiolidae. The record is from RNAcentral.